AUUAAAAAAUGUAUUCAAACGCAUCCUAAAUUAUAUCAAAUUUCUAUUAGGUCCAUCGUGAUUCGUGGUAUGGGUGGAUUCAACGCAGAGAACACACUGGGUUUUUGGAGAAAACAAUAAUGAAUGGACCUCUUAAAGACGUGGCGCAGCCGCAUGGAAUUCUUUGAGUGGCUGUUCCAUGCAGGUUCCAUCACUUUAAAAAUGAACACAGCUUCGAUGAUGCCACUUAGGUGCACCACAUCUAUAAUUGGCACUAUUGGUCAGACAAACCAAAUUUGGCCAAUCCAGUGGGAGCGUUGUGC
RNAcentral lists this long non-coding RNA (302 nucleotides) under Elaeis guineensis (African oil palm). RNAcentral describes it as "long non-coding RNA (EGUI_LNC079162)". Lineage: Eukaryota; Viridiplantae; Streptophyta; Magnoliopsida; Arecales; Arecaceae. The record is from RNAcentral.